RNAcentral lists this ribosomal RNA (519 nucleotides) under Sporosarcina sp. Bt 42. RNAcentral's name for it is "bacterial SSU rRNA". It matches the Rfam family "Bacterial small subunit ribosomal RNA", at positions 63 to 566 of the family's 1533-position model. The record is from RNAcentral. Lineage: Bacteria; Bacillati; Bacillota; Bacilli; Caryophanales; Caryophanaceae.
CGAGCGAAUURAUAGGAGCUUGCUCCUUGAGAUUAGSGGSGGACGGGUGAGUAACACGUGGGCAACCUGCCCUGCAGAUGGGGAUAACUCCGGGAAACCGGGGCUAAUACCGAAUAAUCAGUUCCUUCGCAUGAAGGAACUCUGAAAGACGGUUUCGGCUGUCACUGCAGGAUGGGCCCGCGGCGCAUUAGCUAGUUGGUGGGGUAAUGGCCUACCAAGGCAACGAUGCGUAGCGACCUGAGAGGGUGAUCGGCCACACUGGGACUGAGACACGGCCCAGACUCCUACGGGAGGCAGCAGUAGGGAAUCUUCCACAAUGGACGAAAGUCUGAUGGAGCAAUGCCGCGUGAGUGAAGAAGGUUUUCGGAUCGUAAAGCUCUGUUGCGAGGGAAGAACACGUACGGGAGUAACUGCCCGUACCUUGACGGUACCUCGUCAGAAAGCCACGGCUAACUACGUGCCAGCAGCCGCGGUAAUACGUAGGUGGCAAGCGUUGUCCGGAAUUAUUGGGCGUAAAGC